UAAUUUUUUAGUCAUAAAUGAUUUU
RNAcentral lists this transfer RNA (25 nucleotides) under Cacopsylla breviantennata. RNAcentral describes it as "partial tRNA-Cys". The record is from RNAcentral. Lineage: Eukaryota; Metazoa; Arthropoda; Insecta; Hemiptera; Psyllidae.